AAGCGUGAAGAAGGCUUGAGGCAUAAAUGUAUUUUUGAUCUUAACAUUAGCUGGAUUUGAUUGGUUACCACACAAUAAUUAUAAACUUGGAAAUGGAAAGAAAUAUCUAAAUAUUAUUUGUACAAGCCCAAUUUCACCCGGACCUCAAAACCCCAACCAAUUAAAACCAAAGUCUAAAUUUUAGAUCCAACUACCCUAGCCCAAUACAGCUCAAAACCCUCUUAACCCUAGCCCAUAACAAUUAGAAAAAAAGAAGACUAAAAACCCUAAAAACCCUAGCCACCGCCCCUAUGCCUGACUUUCGGCCAACUGCCCUCUGACUUCUGCCAUGCCGCCGCUGUCAGCGUCUCUGCCACCACCUGCUCCACCCUCCCCACUUGCACCACCGCCUGCAAGAAAUAAAGAAGGAAUUGACAACAAUAAUAAAGAAAUAUUGUAAAUGGCUAUAUAAGCCAAGCAAAAUAAAUGUAAAAGAGGAAUUUUUUUUUUGAAAUAAUAAAAAACAGACAAAAAAUACAAGAAAACAAACACUUCUUCUCUUAAAAAAAAGUAAUCAGAUCGAAGAAAAAUAGAAACACAAGAUCUCCAAGGUGAUUUAAUCUUUUCGUUUUUCUUUUGAGUCAUUUAUUAUACAUAAAAAAAAUAAAAUAAAAAGAAGAAAGGAAGUUCAAAAAACAAGCUAAGGUCUUUUAUGUUUUUAUUUUUCUUUCUUUCGAAAUCGCUCAUAUACAUGUGUAUUUCUCUUUAUUUUAUUUUCCUUUUUAAAGCUAUAUAUUUAUACAUAUUAAGAAGGGAUUUUUUUUAAAAAAAAGAAAAGAAAAGAAACGAAAAGAAAAACUUACCUUUUAAUCGCAAAAAAAAGGAGCGAUUUUUUGAUUUUUCGGCUACCGCGGACGGCGGCGCUGUCACCGGCAACAGGAGGCCCUGCGGUGGUCCGGUGACCGGAGACCUGGCCUGGCCUUGGGAGCUUUGAGAGAAGGGAGGGGAGCCUUUUUGUUUUUUUUUU
RNAcentral lists this long non-coding RNA (1006 nucleotides) under Gossypium barbadense (sea-island cotton). RNAcentral describes it as "long non-coding RNA (GBAR_LNC010870)". Lineage: Eukaryota; Viridiplantae; Streptophyta; Magnoliopsida; Malvales; Malvaceae. The record is from RNAcentral.